CGCCCAUUAAAGCGGUACGCGAGCUGGGUUCAGAACGUCGUGAGACAGUUCGGUCCCUAUCCGUCGCGGGCGCAGGAAAUUUGAGAGGAGCUGUCCUUAGUACGAGAGGACCGGGAUGGACGCACCGCUGGUGUACCAGUUGUUCUGCCAAGGGCAUCGCUGGGUAGCUAUGUGCGGACGGGAUAAGUGCUGAAAGCAUCUAAGCAUGAAGCCCCCCUCAAGAUGAGAUUUCCCAUUCCGCAAGGAAGUAAGAUCCCUGAAAGAUGAUCAGGUUGAUAGGGCUGAGGUGGAAGUGUGGCGACACAUGGAGCUGACAGAUACUAAUCGAUCGAGGACUUAACCAAUUU
This 347-nucleotide ribosomal RNA is filed under the name Bacillus velezensis. Its description in RNAcentral is "partial 23S ribosomal RNA". It matches the Rfam family "Bacterial large subunit ribosomal RNA", at positions 2582 to 2925 of the family's 2925-position model. The record is from RNAcentral. Lineage: Bacteria; Bacillati; Bacillota; Bacilli; Caryophanales; Bacillaceae.